RNAcentral lists this transfer RNA (73 nucleotides) under Dipodomys ordii (Ord's kangaroo rat). It matches the Rfam family "tRNA". From Rfam's summary of the family: Transfer RNA (tRNA) molecules are approximately 80 nucleotides in length. Their secondary structure includes four short double-helical elements and three loops (D, anti-codon, and T loops). Further hydrogen bonds mediate the characteristic L-shaped molecular structure. tRNAs have two regions of fundamental functional importance: the anti-codon, which is responsible for specific mRNA codon recognition, and the 3' end, to which the tRNAs corresponding amino acid is attached (by aminoacyl-tRNA synthetases). tRNAs cope with the degeneracy of the genetic code in two manners: having more than one tRNA (with a specific anti-codon) for a particular amino acid; and 'wobble' base-pairing, i.e. permitting non-standard base-pairing at the 3rd anti-codon position. Lineage: Eukaryota; Metazoa; Chordata; Mammalia; Rodentia; Heteromyidae. The record is from Rfam by way of RNAcentral.
GGGAGCAUGGCUUAAGUGGUAAAGCACUUGUCUGGCAAGCUUAAAGUCCUGAAUUCAAUCUUCAAUACUUCUG